This 496-nucleotide ribosomal RNA is filed under the name uncultured bacterium. RNAcentral's name for it is "partial 16S ribosomal RNA". It matches the Rfam family "Bacterial small subunit ribosomal RNA", at positions 28 to 507 of the family's 1533-position model. The record is from RNAcentral.
GAUGAACGCUGGCGGCGUGCCUAAUACAUGCAAGUCGAGCGAACGGACGAGAAGCUUGCUUCUCUGAUGUUAGCGGCGGACGGGUGAGUAACACGUGGAUAACCUACCUAUAAGACUGGGAUAACUUCGGGAAACCGGAGCUAAUACCGGAUAAUAUUUUGAACCGCAUGGUUCAAAAGUGAAAGACGGUCUUGCUGUCACUUAUAGAUGGAUCCGCGCUGCAUUAGCUAGUUGGUAAGGUAACGGCUUACCAAGGCAACGAUGCAUAGCCGACCUGAGAGGGGGGUCGGCCACACUGGAACUGAGACACGGUCCAGACUCCUACGGGCGGCAGCAGUAGGGAAUCUUCCGCAAUGGGCGAAAGCCUGACGGAGCAACGCCGCGUGAGUGAUGAAGGUCUUCGGAUCGUAAACUCUGUUAUUAGGGAAGAACAUAUGUGUAAGUAACUGUGCACAUCUUGACGGUACCUAAUCAGAAAGCCACGGCUAACUACGUG